UUUUUUAAAUAAAGAGAAAAUCAUAAGAAAAUUAGUCAAAUUUAGCUUUAAAAUCAAAAGAAGAAAAAAAUAGAGAAAUUUGUGAAUUAUGCCAUGUACAGUAACAAAGUUUCUACUCAUUGCCAUUUGUUUCUUUACCUUCUCCCGCCUGCCACAACGCAUUGUAUAAAAGACGAUUAUACCCUCUUGCUAAUAAACUCUGCAAAUUGAAAGUGACCUUUCAGGCUUUCAUACUUUUUUUCUUUUUUCUUUUUUCUCGUAUGUCUCUUUCUCUCUCUCUCUUUCCUCUGUCUUUUUUUUUUGUUCUUUCAUUUUGUUCUUUCUUUCUCCAGUAACAAACCAAGAGAUUUCUAAUUCCACCAGCAUUAACUCUAACAAAAAGAUAUCAAUCAGCUCUACAGAUGUUGUCUAGAAGUUGUCUGUUGCAUCUCUAAUGGGUCAAUUCGAUGGACCAGAUCUGGUAUAUCAGAUCCGGUGGACCAUGUUCAGUGAACCAGUUCGUGAGAUCUUUUUCACCCAUGUUUUCUCCUACAAAGGGAUCUCAAUCAGCUUUGCAGAUGCUCCCUAGAGAUUAGGUGUUCUAUUUCUGACGAACCAAUUCCGAUGGACCAGAUCUGGUAGACAAUAUCCAGUGAACCAGUUUCGGUGGACCAAACUUGUCUACUUUUACUAAGUAAUCGUGUCCAUCACGUAGAUCUUCUAAAGCCAUAAGCGAAUUACCAGAUGAUUACACAAGUGAUGCGUCAAUGAAAGAUAUCAUCUAAGAUCCAUGUAUAAUUACACUCUUAACCACACAUUUAUCUAUAGAUGGACCAGAUCUCGUGGACUAGAUUCGGUGGACCAAAUCUUGUGGGCUAGAUCCAGUAAACCAGAUCCGAUGUCUGUAAUAUGUCCAUAUUUUGUUCCCUAACUUGUUGUUCCAUUUUUUAUAAACUAACUUGUCUAUAAUACAUAUGUUAGUGUGGUAAUAAUGCUGGGUAGUGAAAAAGAACAACCAAUAAUGAUGGAUGAUACAUGUAUUUAUAUUGUCUGCGUAAUUAAUGAUGGACCAGAUCUACUGCACCAAACAUGGCCAUCAAGACAGUUGUCCAUAUCUUCUUCUAACUCAAUUCUUUGUGUUUGUCCUUCACCAGUUUAAGAAAGCCUAGGCAAACCUUGUGUGAGUAAAAAGCCUACUAACUACACGUGAGAGGACAUGCAGCGGAGUUAUUCUUCGGAAUCUAUCAAAAUAAGGUUUUGAUAGACCAGUCUACUACUUACUCGUCCGCCAUUUUUGACAUCAUUUUAUAGAUUGUCUAUCGACUAUAGUGCACACAUCGAUAGGCAAGUGGACAUCCCUACACAUCUAAGCUUAUUUAUUUGAUGGACAACUCAUAUAAAAUCUCUAGGUUACUUGUCCUCUAUUAACACAUAUUAUAUCUGGUU
This 1425-nucleotide long non-coding RNA is filed under the name Capsella rubella. Its description in RNAcentral is "long non-coding RNA (CRUB_LNC002471)". The record is from RNAcentral. Lineage: Eukaryota; Viridiplantae; Streptophyta; Magnoliopsida; Brassicales; Brassicaceae.